Molecule: ribosomal RNA, 95 nt
Filed under: Lachnospiraceae bacterium
Lineage: Bacteria; Bacillati; Bacillota; Clostridia; Lachnospirales; Lachnospiraceae
Description: partial 23S ribosomal RNA
Rfam family: Bacterial large subunit ribosomal RNA
Source: RNAcentral
AAGACCCCUUGAAGACGACGAGGUAGAUAGGGCAGGGGUGGAAGCACAGCAAUGUGUGGAGCUGACUGUUACUAAUCGGUCGAGGGCUUGACCAA